GCGGGUCGUUAGCUCAGCUGGUAGAGCAGCGGACUUUUAAUCCGUUGGUCGGCGGUUCGAAUCCAUCAGCCGGCACCA
This 78-nucleotide transfer RNA is filed under the name Betaproteobacteria bacterium. Its description in RNAcentral is "tRNA-Lys". It matches the Rfam family "tRNA". Rfam says of the family: Transfer RNA (tRNA) molecules are approximately 80 nucleotides in length. Lineage: Bacteria; Pseudomonadati; Pseudomonadota; Betaproteobacteria. The record is from RNAcentral.